UUUGUAAAGUGUCGGCAAGAAGAUAAGGUGGAAUAAUUUGAGUGGAUGAUGGGGCCCAAUGAGCACCCACACUCCAAUUAUAACCCCAAAUCUUUGCCUAUAAAUAAGGCCUUGUACUUUCUAAAAACAUAAGCAAUUUUCCAAUCUUGUAUAAGAAAAACUUUCUUUCAAAAAACUCUCUCCCAUAUAUUCUCUCAUAUAUUCUCUCUCAAUUUACAUACUUAAAUAUCUAGCAUCAACUAAGAAAAUAAUGGAGCAAAAUAAGGUACGUAAAUUUAUGGCAAGCUAAAUUUUCUGUGGCAAGAUUUUAGGAAAGUAUUCUAGCAUCAACUAAGGAAUUAAUGGAGCAAAAUAAGGUACGUAAAUUUAUGGAAAGCUAAAUUUUCUAUGGCAAGAUUUUAGGAAAGUAGUAAUAAUGCUAAAAUGAUAAUGAUCCUGUGAACACCGGGAGUUCAGUGUAACAUUAGUUUAAAGGUUUAUAACAGCCGGUAAUGCUAGCUAAAGUGGAUCUAGCCGUG
Molecule: long non-coding RNA, 518 nt
Filed under: Nicotiana benthamiana
Lineage: Eukaryota; Viridiplantae; Streptophyta; Magnoliopsida; Solanales; Solanaceae
Description: long non-coding RNA (NBEN_LNC039039)
Source: RNAcentral